AGUCGAACGGGCGUAGCAAUACGUCGGUGGCAGACGGGUGAGUAACGCGUGGGAACGURCCUUUUGGUUCGGAACAACACAGGGAAACUUGUGCUAAUACCGGAUAAGCCCUUACGGGGAAAGAUUUAUCGCCGAAAGAUCGGCCCGCGUCUGAUUAGCUAGUUGGUGAGGUAACGGCUCACCAAGGCGACGAUCAGUAGCUGGUCUGAGAGGAUGAUCAGCCACAUUGGGACUGAGACACGGCCCAAACUCCUACGGGAGGCAGCAGUGGGGAAUAUUGGACAAUGGGCGCAAGCCUGAUCCAGCCAUGCCGCGUGAGUGAUGAAGGCCCUAGGGUUGUAAAGCUCUUUUGUGCGGGAAGAUAAUGACGGUACCGCAAGAAUAAGCCCCGGCUAACUUCGUGCCAGCAGCCGCGGUAAUACGAAGGGGGCUAGCGUUGCUCGGAAUCACUGGGCGUAAAGGGUGCGUAGGCGGGUCUUUAAGUCAGAGGUGAAAUCCUGGAGCUCAACUCCAGAACUGCCUUUGAUACUGAAGAUCUUGAGUUCGGGAGAGGUGAGUGGAACUGCGAGUGUAGAGGUGAAAUUCGUAGAUAUUCGCAAGAACACCAGUGGCGAAGGCGGCUCACUGGCCCGAUACUGACGCUGAGGCACGAAAGCGUGGGGAGCAAACAGGAUUAGAUACCCUGGUAGUCCACGCCGUAACCGAUGAAUGCCAGCCGUUGGAAAGUUUACUUUUCAGUGGCGCAGCUAACGCUUUAAGCAUUCCGCCUGGG
RNAcentral lists this ribosomal RNA (772 nucleotides) under Bradyrhizobiaceae bacterium HTCC354. Its description in RNAcentral is "bacterial SSU rRNA". It matches the Rfam family "Bacterial small subunit ribosomal RNA", at positions 60 to 877 of the family's 1533-position model. The record is from RNAcentral. Lineage: Bacteria; Pseudomonadati; Pseudomonadota; Alphaproteobacteria; Hyphomicrobiales; Nitrobacteraceae.